GAAUGCGUGGGGUGUAGUAAUGGUAAGGGAAGGGCCAAAGAACCUGGAACAUAGACCAAGCCACAUGAGGAACCUCCAUACAAAUGGCAAUGCAGCCUGAGCGCGAAAUCCAAGGCAUGGGCCAAGGUCCAAUGGAGAAACACCCUCUGAAAGUAAGAAAAAUAACCAUGAAAGUAAAGUGAAAGAAAGGAAGAAAAAGAAAA
RNAcentral lists this long non-coding RNA (203 nucleotides) under Selaginella moellendorffii. RNAcentral describes it as "long non-coding RNA (SMOE_LNC000377)". The record is from RNAcentral. Lineage: Eukaryota; Viridiplantae; Streptophyta; Lycopodiopsida; Selaginellales; Selaginellaceae.